Molecule: unclassified non-coding RNA, 215 nt
Filed under: Hevea brasiliensis (rubber tree)
Lineage: Eukaryota; Viridiplantae; Streptophyta; Magnoliopsida; Malpighiales; Euphorbiaceae
Source: RNAcentral
UCAAUGAAGGAAAAAUCUGAUAAAGAUUCACAAGAGGGACCAGGCUUGAAAACAGCUGGGCCAGGUGGUGAGAUAACAGCAGGAUUUUUAUUGAAGAAAAGUGGAAAAACAAAUGGUUGGAGUAGGCGGUGGUUUGUAUUGAAUGAAAAAAGUGGCAAGCUUGGUUACACCAAAAAGCAGGAAGAAAGACAUUUCCGUGGUGUCAUUACUUUGGA